AACAAAAUAGCUUAAUUAUAAAGUUUUUAUUUUACACAUAAAAGAUAAGUUUUACUUUUUUGUUA
Molecule: transfer RNA, 65 nt
Filed under: Rhabdosynochus viridisi
Lineage: Eukaryota; Metazoa; Platyhelminthes; Monogenea; Dactylogyridea; Diplectanidae
Description: tRNA-Val
Source: RNAcentral